UACGGAGGGUGCAAGCGUUAUCCGGAUUUCACGUGGGUUUAAAAGGGUGCGUAGGUGGGUUGGUAAGUCAGUGGUGAAAUCCCGAGCUUAACUUGGGACUGCCAUUGAUACUAUCAGUCUUGAAUAUUGUGGAGGUCAGCGGAAUAUGUCAUGUAGCGGUGAAAUGCUUAGAUAUGACAUAGAACACCAAUUGCGAAGGCAGCUGGCUACA
Molecule: ribosomal RNA, 211 nt
Filed under: uncultured bacterium
Lineage: Bacteria
Description: partial 16S ribosomal RNA
Rfam family: Bacterial small subunit ribosomal RNA
Source: RNAcentral